Bombus impatiens (common eastern bumble bee) is the source of this 414-nucleotide long non-coding RNA. RefSeq lists it as uncharacterized. The record is from RefSeq and is a predicted model, not a curated record. NCBI's taxonomy places the organism in Eukaryota, Metazoa, Arthropoda, Insecta, Hymenoptera, Apidae. The transcript has 2 exons.
ACAAGAGACUGUACAAGUUGACUGUUCUCAGGUUAGAGAAUCAGUGUAGAGAUGCGGACUGAUCUAUUGACGAGAUCGAGUCCGAGUAGAUAUGCUGACUGUCCUUAAUGUAGUAAAAGCAGCCCGAAAUGUUGACUGAUCCGUAGAUGACUUAGCAGUUUCCGAUUUGGUGCCGGAGUAUUGACUGAACUAAUGUCGUAGAAACAGUGAAGUCCGUUCUCGUGUUAUUAAGGAGGAAAGCUCGGUGUGGGUGUGCCUUUUGAACUAAGAACGCGGAUUCGUUGUUCACACUUUUCGUUAGGAAAGUGAGGGUAACGAUCCGCGAUGCCCAUUGGUUAUAGCCAACGUUAAUAAAUGAAGAUAGGAGGAGGAAGUCUCCUGCCAAUGUUGCUCGUGGGUGUCAUUGUUUAUGGG